Molecule: long non-coding RNA, 441 nt
Organism: Ornithodoros turicata
Lineage: Eukaryota; Metazoa; Arthropoda; Arachnida; Ixodida; Argasidae
Exons: 3
Source: RefSeq, a predicted model, not a curated record
UCCACUUUUUCUCAGCUGCACCCUCUCAGUUCAGGCAGCAGCAGUACCAGGUGUAUGUACAUAACUUCCAAGACACACGAGUGCAAUUCUGAAGCUGAUUUUCAGCCAUGGAGAGAAGAAAUGCAGGAUGCAGCCAAGAGUCAUUUUACUAAAGGCACAGGGAGAGGACACAUCAAAGGAAAAGGUCCAUCAAAUCAUAAGGUUCCGUCAGGCGUGGGGACACCUGCCUUGCUGAUAUGUCUGCAAUGUUCCAAACUGGCAAGGUCUCGUUUGUCUUCCAAGCUUCCUAUUAUGCACAUGAUUUUGGGGCUGUCCUACACCCCACUUACAAAAACAGAGGAAGAUGUAAUAGAGGCAGCCCGUGCAGGGGGGGUAUAUGUUUAUUCACACAAAAGGAGAUGUCAGCCAGGCAAGUGCCAGCUUGCUACUCCUUAAAAAAGA